Long non-coding RNA from Mauremys mutica (yellowpond turtle), 1395 nucleotides. RefSeq lists it as uncharacterized. NCBI's taxonomy places the organism in Eukaryota, Metazoa, Chordata, Testudines, Geoemydidae. The record is from RefSeq and is a predicted model, not a curated record. The transcript has 3 exons.
UCUGAGGGAACAGGUGGGGCUUACAUAAAGCUAAGAGACUAGCAACGGAGAGAUUGCAGGAUAAUGGUCAGUCACUCUGAGGGAAAGAGAGAUAGGAAUCCAUAGGGCCUAGUAGACCCUAGGAGAGUCAGAUCUGACUAGAAGGAGUGGAAGCAAGGAGUGACAGGGUCAGGCUGUUGGGCAUGAGGACUGCUGAUGCUGCUUGAGCAGAAAGACUUUGAAGGACUCCACCCUGGAAGGGGAAACCACUUAGUUACCUGGCCGGAGGACCAAAUUGUGAAGAGGAAGCUUCAGCUCCUGGAGUGAGACAGGAGCCGCAGAGUGAGCAGGAGACAGGGAGUGAUGGAUGGGGUGUGAGCCUGGCAGAGCUAAUCCCCAGAACAGCCAGGAGGAGGCACUGUUGAGUGCAUAUCUGAAGAGGCAGAGAGACAGGGGCUCCAAAAGCUUCAAUAAAAUGUUAUGUGUGACAGAACAGACAGCUGGUGAAAAGAGGAGACUCAUCUUACGGCAAAGUGACAUUGAGAGCUUUCAGAGAUGCUUGCUGUGUUCACGCUAGAGAAAACCUUGAUGUGUGCAAUAAUCUACAGCCACAGCCUUGAAGAUUUCUCUCUCUUUCUCUUUUCCCAUCCUCAGUUCUCAAUAUACCUGUAAAGCAUCAAGAUGAGCUGAAGAGCACUCAGACAAUUUUUAUGUGAUUAUGUGGGCGACUAUAAGGGAGAGAUGUUUGGCAUUAUUAUGAACUUUUCCCUUCUUUUAUUUUUGUAAGUUGUUCUACACCUGUGCUGAGCUCCUAGCACCACUGAGCACUAGCAGUAGCCCAGCCUUCAUACAUAAUUCAUGCAAUCAAAACUUUGCAACUGUGCAAAAUUGUGUACCCCACAUCCUGUGCCUCCCAAUUGGCUUUCCAUAGACUGUCAGACAUUACAGCAGUGUGGCUCGCUCAGUGGCCAUAAACUGAAGCACUAAUGAAGCUGCCUGAACUGCACAGUGGAGAGUCAGUUAAUAAGUCUCUAUUUUUAAUUUUGAUCAGCUGACAGGAGGUCCAAAGUGUUGGAAAAGCUUUAAAACAAAAACCAACAGCAAGAACAAAAAAAAUCAUUGUGGCAGAAUUGAGUAGGAAAUGGACACAGAUUUUAAGAAAGGUUUUUACUUCUGAUGGACAAAAUUAAAUAUCCCUUUGAAAACACCAAAGUGUUUCAAAAUCGACCAUCUAAUUCAGUAAGUAGGCAGUUAGAUAUGAAUUGCUGAAAUAAAUGCCUUGGAGGCAUUGUGACCUUAGAAGUGUGUUAUCUUAAAUUCAUAUAUGCCUUAGAGUGUGUGUCAGCCAAAAAAAAAAGAAGAAAAGCAUCAACCUCCCAGAUGCCCCCCAUUCUGCCUAUGCUCUUUUCCCUUCCU